AACAAUGAAAGACAAGGACGUAGAGCCAGGAAGAUCUCUUUCUCUCUCCCCUCUCUGCCUCCCCUCCUUCUCUGCCUCCCCCGCCCCCUCUCAUUCCCUCCCUCCCGCUCUCUCCUAUUUCACUCUCUGGCCGCAGGUCUCUUCUGUCCCCACUUUCCUGAAAGCCAGUUCCACUGGACCCCUUCCACCCUUGCAAACAGCGAAUCUGCUUCAGUGGUUGUCUUGUGCGGGAAGUGACAGAACCCCAACUCUGCAGGGGGAGGGGGUUCUCACUAAACCCAGCUGGGCCAAUGCUCGGCGCACACCGGUGCCUCGCUGACUCUCCCAGAGGGAACCAGCCAGGCAGGCUCAGUAAAGACCUUCACCCGGGAGGCUGUCCUUCCCGGCUAGGGCUGUGUUAAUGUCUAAUAACUGGGAGCUGCGGCUCUCAGUAAUGUUGGCAAUGAAGUCAGGUGCGCGUGCGAGUUGGACGUGAGCUGCCGUCCAUCCACGUGAACUUCUUCCUGAGAAAGCAAGACUUUCGAACUCUCCCUUAGUCCACAGGCUUCACCUACAGCGACCGCAGCCAGAGCCGCUCUAAGGACAACAGAAGGUGCUGGAGACACGUGAAUGAGUCACCAAGGAGCAAAGCUUCCUCACUGAGUCCCAGAGAAUACGGUAUGUGAAGUCAGUUUUUGGAUGUUGAAGUGGCAAGAACAGUUUCUGGAUUCCAAGUGGAUGCAGCCUGUGCCAUCAUCUGAGACAACGACAGGGGACGGAAAUUAGAAUCCGGAGCAGAAGGGAAACGUGGAUUUGAGGUAAGUCGGCUGCCCACUGUUUGGGGGUGUGGCAGGUGUCAUCAUGGGGACUCUGUCCUCGGAGAGCGCGUGACGCCGCACCAGGACAUUGCUGCUCUUCAAGUGUUGCUAUUUUCAUUUCCUCCGCCGCUCUACUUUGAGUUGAACAAGGUGUUAGGCUUUUCUGUUUCUCUGAUAUUAAUAAUGUACUGGAAGUGUGAUAAUAAAAAUCAUUUAACUAAAAACCGUUUAGCUCCUGAGUGUCCCCGAAAGGCUUAUUAUCCGCGAGGUCUGACUGUAAGUGAGGAACCGGGUCAGCUCCACAGGCAGGCCUUGCUUUCUGUUCAGCGUGUAUUCCUUUAUUCCUGUGGUAGAAGGGUACCCUGGCCACCCCGAGCCACCCCGCCCCCUCCAGUGUGUGCUUGGAAAUGAGGAAGAACAGAUUCUUCAGGGCUCCAAUGUGUGUGGUGAAGGAGACACAACUCUUGUCAGGUUGACAGGAGUCAGAUCAAGAUGGGGUAUCUCUGUUGUCUGUCUCAUGGAGAAAGAUGAGCUUGGUGAGCCCCCGAUUAUCCUCUAUGCUGAAGCCAGAAGCUGGACAGGAGGAAUGGGUAAGAUUAAAACUUUAUUUCACACCUUUCUGGCAGAUGAAAUAUUCAGCAUAAAGUUUGUUGGAAGAGAUACUCAAAACA
Long non-coding RNA from Alexandromys fortis (reed vole), 1468 nucleotides. RefSeq lists it as uncharacterized. The transcript has 3 exons. The record is from RefSeq and is a predicted model, not a curated record. Lineage: Eukaryota; Metazoa; Chordata; Mammalia; Rodentia; Cricetidae.